CCUACGGGUGGCAGCAGUGAGGAAUAUUGGUCAAUGGACGCGAGUCUGAACCAGCCAAGUAGCGUGAAGGAUGAAUGCCCUAUGGGUUGUAAACUUCUUUUAUAUGGGAAUAAAAUGUUCCACGUGUGGGAUUUUGUAUGUACCAUAUGAAUAAGGAUCGGCUAACUCCGUGCCAGCAGCCGCGGUAAUACGGAGGAUCCGAGCGUUAUCCGGAUUUAUUGGGUUUAAAGGGAGCGUAGGUGGAUUGUUAAGUCAGUUGUGAAAGUUUGCGGCUCAACCGUAAAAUUGCAGUUGAAACUGGCAGGCUUGAGUACAGUAGAGGUGGGCGGAAUUCGUGGUGUAGCGGUGAAAUGCGUAGAUAUCACGAAGAACUCCGAUGGCGAAGGCAGCUCACUGGACUGCAACUGACACUGAGGCUCGAAAGUGUGGGUAGCAAACAGGAUUAGAUACCCUUGUAGUC
This 460-nucleotide ribosomal RNA is filed under the name uncultured bacterium. RNAcentral's name for it is "partial 16S ribosomal RNA". It matches the Rfam family "Bacterial small subunit ribosomal RNA", at positions 338 to 795 of the family's 1533-position model. The record is from RNAcentral.